CCCAUAUCCAGAGACUGGGAGCUCCUCCCUAGUGCUUCUGCUUCCUUCAGUGGAGCCACAGUCCAAGAGCCUGGGUUCUGGGCAGUGUGGGCCUCCUAAUUCCCAACAGGUCGCUGGGGGUACACCCGUCAGACUUUUCCUCUACCCCUCUGCAGCUUGGUAGCCAAAGUGGCUUCCUUCCUUAGGGAGCCACUGCUCAGCUCAGCUUCUACCUCUGUUAGACUCACAGCUGACAGUGGUGAACUUAGGCUCCCUGCUGCCAGUGCCAACCACUGCCCCAACCCCUCUAUCUCUGUUACCUGUCGGUCCUGCUCUCCAGCUCCCCCAACCUAGCUGUGUGGGUCCCCACUUGCUCCUGCUGCUCAGGUGUUACUUUCACCCGCCAGGCGCUCCCCCCACCCCAUAGCUUGGGAUGAGCAGAGCUCCACUCAGUAGAUCUAAAGCCUUUCCAGGAUUAGAGAAAGCUGAGCAGCAACCUGGGGGAUCCUGGGUAAUCAUGGACUCCCCCAUCUGGAAGGCCCUUCUCUGGUCUCAAUUCCUGUCUCAAGGCCCCAUCUUCCACCUACUUCAGUGGAGUAUUCUGAACUCAACACAUCGACCUCUACCCGCAGGCUUCCCCACCAGAUGCCCUACACUGGAUGCUGAAGACUUGAGAACAGACAGGGCAACCUUUUUGAGAAGGGCUUCCCCAAAAAGCAGAGGAGCCUGGGUCUCUAGGGAAGAAGGAGCCUGGAUUGCCACCACCCCGCUGA
RNAcentral lists this long non-coding RNA (752 nucleotides) under Mus musculus (house mouse). Its description in RNAcentral is "long non-coding RNA chr4:90452873-90453625". Lineage: Eukaryota; Metazoa; Chordata; Mammalia; Rodentia; Muridae. The record is from RNAcentral.